CUUUUGGGUCACUUUUGCCGGUCUCAAGCCCGCAUAAAGGAGGAGGGUUGGAAUUGUGACAUUAAAAAAAACAAGAAUCGACAGAAGAAAUUUAAUUUGUAGUUCUAAACAUAUUUAGGGUGUUUUUUACUCACAUUUUCUCUCUCCUAGUGUCCAUCACAAUUACAUUCGCAUGGCCAAUUAUGCAGAUUAGGUGAUGACGUCAUUUAGCGACUUUUAGGACAGCUAUUAGCUACUUUCUUGGCAACACUGUUAUGAGGGGUUCUAUGAGAAGCUUCAUUGGAUAGAUAUUGAAACGUGAUGGUUUAGCAUGUUUUUGAUAUUGUUCCAUUCAAAUUAGUUUCUUCAAAUUACAGGAGACGGGGGAGGUUGAUUAUACAUUGUUUUCUUGGUUUUAUAACUAAUAUUUUUGUGGGGAGGGUUUGGUCGGCAGGGUUGUGUUUCGGAGGACGCACGGCUCUAGACCUUCGCCUUUCCAGAGUCCGUACGGGAUUUGCAGCGAUGGGACAAGACCAACUACCAAUUUGAUACCACAAAAUUGUGGAGAAAAAGGGGUUAACAUUUUUUUUAAAUAAAUGUUAAAAGAUAUCUUCUCACAGAUAUGAAAGGGCUAUAUGUUUCGAAAACCUUUUCGCAAGCAGUGAUUAUUUACGUUUCUAAACUUUAAAACACAGAGUCGGAAUUGUAGUUCACAUGGAGCCAGCAGUGGGCGAAGCUUACUGCUGGAAACCCUAUGAAGAGAAGGGUUAUCGAGAGCUAAUGUAGGGGAUCAUUGAGGAUUCAGUGGACGCACAGCCAUCAACUAUCACUUUUAUUAUUCAAAUUAGUUUCCUCAAAUUACAGGAGACGGAGGAGGUUAAUUAUACAUUGUUUCUUGGUUUUAUAACUUUAUGUUUGUGUCCAGAUACGGCAAUUUAUUUCGCCGCCAACGCUACCUCAAAUUGCUUUUAUUUUUUGUUGAACCCCUUUCAUUCUCUGGGGUACACGGAAAAAGUGCGAAUUAAAACCGAGGUCGACUGCCUGAGAUCAGUUUGAUGAAGAAAGAUGAAAAGGUGAUGGCGUUCAAUACCAAUUUCUAUCAAAAGUAUAGCUGGUUAACAGGGAGCCUUUCAUCAAUCCGCCUGUAUUGCUGGCCUUGCCUGCUUUUUGGAAAGUCUGAGCCUUGGGCGAAAGAGGGGUACAGUGCCCAGAAGAACAUUGAUCGUUCAGCUAAACGACAAAACAAAAGCAGGGAGCGUAACGUUAUAAGAUUCAAACUUCUGGGAAAAACCCGCAUCUAUCAUGACGACGGUCUGCGUAUUCAAAAUGCGCAACACAAUGAGAAAGUAAGAAGAAACAGGGAUAUUCUCAAGCGGUUUAUCAACAGCACUGCGUUUUUGGGUAUGCAAAAAGUGGAGGGCACAACGAGAGGGAAUGUUCCGCUGUCUAACAAGUGCAACCACAAGGAGCUUGUAGCGGUAAUUGCACGUUUCGAUGCUUUACUUGCUGAACAUAUGGAACUUUCAGUCUUUUCUGGGAUCAUUCAGAAUGGUUUGAUAGCUUCCAUCGCAUCAUCCAUUAAAAGUUACAUUAAAGAGAGAGGUUGACGCAGCGCGCUCAAGUAGGCUUUCCAUUUUCCUCCGGUAUUUAUUUAGCAAAGACGAUAGAUAAAACAAUAAUCACUCGGGGCAGACACAAGCAAAAACGAAUUAACUAAAUGUUGCAGCAGCCUAGGCCACACCUAAACAUUCGUGAUUUGACUUGCUGUAUGGGAUGAAAACGAGACCAUUUUUGUCAGUCUACAGUCUGACCAACUGUAAACUACUAAUAAGAGCAGCGGCAUACAGCCUACUAUGCGCUGUCCAUUUGGUCAAGGUAAUUCAUUGGUAGCGUUAUGUAUUUAUAGUCCAUUUGUGUGUCAGGAGAAAAUGUGAAUGUGAUCAAAUUUGGUUUAUAUUCAGAAUUGGGCUGGCUAGACUGCCUAUACGUUUUCAAUCCAAAAUUAUUAACUGGAAUGAAUCAAUCAUCAUAAUAGUGAUGACAGAUGUAAGUACAUUUUUAUAAGGCCUGCAGUUGCAUAGGCCUGCAUGAUGCAUAAAGCAAGGUGAGUUCUAUUUUCUCUAUCAUUUGUUGUCUCUGUGUCUGGGUAGAGGAAAUCCCCCACCUAAUCAAGUCUAAAUAAAUAUAAUUACUAUGAAGAAGUAUAAGAUUGCUGACCCCCCCCCCCCCAGGAGAGUUUUUCCCUCAUAAUUUUUAAACUAUGUGACCUGAUUAGGGACCAUAUGGGGGUCAGAGUUUUCCUGGUUAGGUUAACAGAUAAGGAGAAACUCCAGGCCCCAGGGGGUAAAAAUUUCCCCCCAACUGGUUUCCACCAGCCUGCUAGCCGUUGUCAGUUAUCGUCAGGUAUGUGGAUGAUCAGGGCUUUAUUCAGGAACGUUUCUUGGGCGAGAUGCGCAGUCUUUGUUUAACUUCAUGGACAAACUUGUUCAAACUUACAUCGGCGCAGCUGUAAUGGAAUGUAUCUGCUAUUUGUAUUUCCAUCUAAGUCCCCUCCUGUUCCCUGAUUUAAGAAGUGAACACUCCUCUCCACUACGAUUGUCAACUCUCUCCUGACAUGAACUGAAGCCACGUCUCAUGUUCCCGCUCAUCCACUGUUACAUUUAAUGUUUCCUCUCCAAACACUUCAAAUUCUGUCCUGCACUGAAGUCAAGCCUCCACUGGUCUCUGCCCUUGAAUGUCUGCAUUGGACAUCACUUGGCCUUCAUGGAGCAGCCAUGUACCACCACCCUCUCAAUAUAUCAGUAGUCAAAUGCAGGCUAUACCACGCCAGAGUUCUAUCCAAAUAUAAAGAUGGCAAGCUUAGUUCGGCAACUUUUGAUCUCCUUACAUGAGAUUUUAACUAGUCAGACAUUAUUAUGAGGUACAUAUAAUGUAACCUACCUUUGUGAUGUCAUAUGGGAGAAAAAUACAGUUUAACUUUCUUCAGCUGUUUAAUUUUCCCAUUGAGACCAAGGUGUCUUCUGCAAGGGAGCCCUGCAUCUUAUAAUUAAACAACAAAUUACACAUAGAAAAUACACCAGAAAAUAAAAAUACAGAGAUUACAAAAAAGAAAAGAAAACACACAUGAAAAACAAUCACAUUCCUCAGCAAAAAGGUCCUCAAUCAGCACUCUGAACUGCCCGAAAGGCACCCAUGCAUCCAUUUGUAGGGAACUCUGAAGAAACUAAAAGCUGUUUUUCCUAAUUCUGUAGCAACAGGGAAUUUCCAGUUAUCUAUCCCUGUGAUGGGUAUGGUAACUCGUACAUAUAUGGGUAAGUAAAGAUGUCAGGUAAUGUGGGAGUUUUUGCAAAAGGGCUUUAAAAAUGAAUAAAAUGCAGUGUUUCGACAUACAUGAGGUCAAAGAGGACCAUCCUACUUUCUGAUAGAGCAAGCAGUGAUGAGUGCAAAACCUCUCACCCCUGAUAGAACAAAGCGCACUAUGGUGAACUGCAUCUAACGGCUUUAAUGAAGUGACAGCUGCAUUCAUGUAGAUCAGUGGUUCCCAAACGUUUUAUAGUCCCGUAGCCAUUCAAACAUUCAACCUCCAGCUGCGUACCCCCUCUAGCACUCUCAAAUGUUUUUUGCCAUCAUUGUAAGCCUGCCACACACACACUAUACAAUACAUUUAUUAAACAUAAGAAUUAGUUUGAGUUUUUGUCACAACCUGGCUCGUGGGAAGUGACUAAGAGCUCUUAUAGGACCAGGGCACAAAUAAUACUAUAAUAAUAAUAAAUAAUUUUGCUUUUUAUUUAGCCAUCUUACAUAUAAAACCUUAUUUGUUCAUCAAAAAUUGUGAAUAACUCACCACAGGUUAAUGAGAAGGGUGUGUUUGAAAGGAUGCACAUAACUCUGUAAUGUUGGGUUUUAUUGGAGAGAGUCGCAGUCAUAUAAUUUUCCACACACAGUCUGUGCCUGUAUUUAGUUUUCAUGCUAGUGAGGGCCGAGAAUCCACUUUCACAUAGGUACGUGGUUGCAAAGGGCAUCAGUGUCUUAACAGCACGAUUUGCCGAGGCAGGCAACUCUGAGCACAGCCCUAUCCAGAAAUCUGGCGGAGGCUUCUGAUUAAAUUACAUUUUCAGAGAACCGCUUGCUGCAAUUUCGAUGAGACUCUCUUGUUCAGAUAUGGGUAAGUGGACUGGAGGCAGGACAUUGAAAGGGAUAACGAAUCCAGUUGUUUGUGUCGUCUGUUUCGGGAAGGUACUUGCGUAAUUGUGCACCCAGCUCACUCAGGUGCUUCGCUAUAUCCCAUUUGACAUUGUCCGUAAGCUUGAGUUCAUUUGCACACAAAAAAAUCAUACAGUGAUGGAAAGACCUGUGUGUUGUCCUUGUUAAUGCAGACAGAGAAGAGCUCCAACUUCUUAAUUGUGGCCUCAACUUUGUCCUGUACAUUGAAUAUAGUUGCUGAGAGUCGCUGUAAUCCUAGAUUCAGAUCAUUCAGGUGAGAAAAAACAUCACCCAGAUAGACCAGUCGUGUGAGAAACUCGUCAUCAUGCAAGCGGUCAGACAAGUGAAAAUUAUGGUCAGUAAAGAAAACUUUAAGCUUGUCUCUCAAUGCAAAAAAACGUGUCAAUACUUUGCUCCUUGAUAAACAGCGCACUUCUGUAUGUUGUAAAAGCGUUACAUGGUCGCUGCCCAUAUUAUUGCAUAGUGCAGGAAAUACACGAGAGUUCAGGGGCCUUGCUUUAAAAAAGUUAACUAUUUUCACUGUAGUGUCCAAAACGUCUUUCAAGCUGUCAGGCAUUCCUUUGGCAGCAAGAGCCUCUCGGUGGAUGCUGCAGUGUACCCAAGUGGCGUCGGGAGCAACUGCUUGCAUGCGCGUUCCCACUCCACUAUGUCUCCCUGUCAUGGCUUUUGUGCCAUCAGUACAUAUACAAACACAUCUUGACCACCAAAGUCCAUUUGAUGUCACAAAGCUGUCCAGUACUUUAAAAAUAUCCUCUCCUGGUUUCCAGAAGAUGAUGUCCUCCUUAAAAGUCCCCCCAUAAAUGUAACGGACAUAUACCAGCUGUAACGCAUAGAGUUCACUGGCUUGUAUGCGAAGCAGUAAUUGUUUCAAAACAUCUCCUGCCAUGUCACUGAUGCUUCGUGUUGUUUGACGAAGGCAUUUUGACCUUUUCCCCCAGCAUUGUCCAACCCAUAUCCGCGGCAGCAAGAAGAAUUAAGUCCUCCACAAUAGUAUGGGGCUUGCCUGUCCUAGCCACUCGGUAGCUCACCAUAUAAGACACUUCUAGCCCCUUCUUAUUAAUGGUAUCUGUUGCUUUUAUACAUGUCUUACUAUUUGAAAGUCGUCUUAGAAAAUUGGACUGUUUCGUUUCUAAAUGUCUGCGCAAGAGUGAAGGUUUCCCGCGAUAGAGUAACGGUUAAUGUGUUUGGAUGUUAAUUAUUUGACUAGACUAUCUGUAUUUCUCACAUCCUGACCCUAGUAAGAUGUCAUUUUCUAUAGUAGGGCAGGGGGGUGUUUUUGGUCUAUCUAUGUUUUCUAUGUUUAGGUUCUAGUUUGUCUAUUUCUAUGUUGGGAUUGUUUGGGGUUGAUCUCUAAUUGGAGGCAGCUGAUCCUCAUUGCCUCUGAUUAGAAAUCAUAUUUAAGUAGGGGUUUUUCUCAUUGUGGUUUGUGGGUUAUUGUCUUUUGAGUAGUGUGUUGUCCUCUCUGCGUCACGGUUUGUUGUUUUCCUAUUUUCAAGUUAUUAGUGUAUUGGAUUCAGUGUCACUUUGAAUAAAUAUGUGGAACUAUGAAAACGCUGCAUCUUGGUCCGCUCCUUCGAACAGCCGUGACAGUAUUUGACAUUGUUGUUAUUUCGCUGAACACUAGAUGGUUUCAUUUUAUUUUUUGGCAGUGAAACGAGGCUACUCAGACGAGAAAAAACAACAUCAUUCAGUCGACGUUCCUUCAUGUCCUAGAAUAUGGCGACAUCAUCUACAUCGGAUAUUCCCCGCCGGGGUUCGCCAAAUAAAAAUGUGAUUCACAUUUUAAAGCAGUCCAUUUAGAUUUUCCAACGGGGCAAUACAUUUCAGUGAACUGCAUUCUACUAUUGAGAGGCUUAACCUAGUGCCUUCAGAAAGUAUUUACUUGACUUUUUCCACAUUUUGUUGUGUUACAGCCUGAAUUUAAAAUUGAUUAAAUUGAGAUUGUGUCACUGAUCUACACAUGUCAAAGUGGAAUUUUGUUUGUAAUAAAAAAUGAGAAGUUGAAAUGUCUUGAGUCAAUAAG
RNAcentral lists this long non-coding RNA (6226 nucleotides) under Salmo salar (Atlantic salmon). Its description in RNAcentral is "lncRNA (ENSSSAG00000091648.1, ENSSSAG00000099192.1)". Lineage: Eukaryota; Metazoa; Chordata; Actinopteri; Salmoniformes; Salmonidae. The record is from RNAcentral.